Rhinichthys klamathensis goyatoka is the source of this 194-nucleotide long non-coding RNA. RefSeq lists it as uncharacterized. Lineage: Eukaryota; Metazoa; Chordata; Actinopteri; Cypriniformes; Leuciscidae. The transcript has 3 exons. The record is from RefSeq and is a predicted model, not a curated record.
AAGGAAACCUUCAGCAUCAGAUAGGAUCAAAAUAAUAACAUUGUAUGAAAGCAUGGCUCAGUACAGUAUAUAUUCAACUUCUAAGGUGUAUGUUUAAGUGGCUAUAUGGCCCUGACUCUGAGGAAUAGAUUUUAAAGCACCCCUUCUCAUGUUGCCAGCCUUGUUCAGAGAGAAGCUUGAACACUUCGUUGUGC